UACGGAGGAUGCGAGCGUUAUCCGGAUUCAUUGGGUUUAAAGGGUGCGUAGGCGGACUGAUAAGUCAGUGGUGAAAUCCUGCAGCUUAACUGUAGAACUGCCAUUGAUACUGUUAGUCUUGAGUUUGGUUAAGGUAGGCGGAAUGUGUAAUGUAGCGGUGAAAUGCUUAGAUAUUACACAGAACACCGAUUGCGUAGGCAGCUUACUGGACCGACACUGACGCUGAGGCACGAAAGCGUGGGGAU
This 245-nucleotide ribosomal RNA is filed under the name uncultured Bacteroidales bacterium. RNAcentral's name for it is "partial 16S ribosomal RNA". It matches the Rfam family "Bacterial small subunit ribosomal RNA", at positions 524 to 768 of the family's 1533-position model. Lineage: Bacteria; Pseudomonadati; Bacteroidota; Bacteroidia; Bacteroidales. The record is from RNAcentral.